AUUGAACGCUGGCGGCAUGCCUUACACAUGCAAGUCGAACGGCAGCGCGGGGCAACCUGGCGGCGAGUGGCGAACGGGUGAGUAAUAUAUCGGAACGUGCCCUGGAGUGGGGGAUAACGUAGCGAAAGUUACGCUAAUACCGCAUACGAUCUGAGGAUGAAAGCAGGGGACCUUCGGGCCUUGUGCUCCUGGAGCGGCCGAUAUCUGAUUAGCUAGUUGGUGGGGUAAAAGCCUACCAAGGCGACGAUCAGUAGCUGGUCUGAGAGGACGACCAGCCACACUGGAACUGAGACACGGUCCAGACUCCUACGGGAGGCAGCAGUGGGGAAUUUUGGACAAUGGGGGGCAACCCUGAUCCAGCAAUGCCGCGUGUGUGAAGAAGGCCUCGGGUUGUUAAAGGACACUUUUGUCUAGGAACGAAACGGU
RNAcentral lists this ribosomal RNA (426 nucleotides) under uncultured bacterium. RNAcentral describes it as "bacterial SSU rRNA". It matches the Rfam family "Bacterial small subunit ribosomal RNA", at positions 30 to 455 of the family's 1533-position model. The record is from RNAcentral.